CUAACCUUAGUCAAUUUUUCUUUUUCCCUUUCUUUCUCUUCUCCUCCCUCUAACGGCGACCAUCCCUCAGUCGUCGUCUCUCUGUUCCUCCUUCCGACCAGCCAUCGUCUCUCUCUUCCUCCUUCCGGCCAGCCAUCGUCUCUCUCUUCCUCUGCUCCCUAGCGACGACCAGCCCGAGGGAUAGGAAACUUUCUUACAUCUGGCUUUUCCUCCUGCGGAAAGUUGAAGCUAUACGCAUUUUGUGUAUCUCCCAUAUAGUUGUAUUUACUAGUGAGGUUAUUUCUGCUAGCAAGAUAUGUUUUUGAUAUGGAUUGAUCUGUUGAUGCUGGUAUUAACUAGUCAAGAAGAGAAAUGAUAUUGUUCGUUGACGUUCUAGGAAAGACCAGAGCCAGAGAUGCAGCAUUGAAGGCCAUUCAAUCUCCUUUACUGGACAUUGGCAUAGAGAGGGCUACUGGAAUUGUGUGGAAUAUAACUGGCGGUAGUGAUCUAACAUUAUUUGUGAGCCAGAUAUUGGUGAUAUCGGACUGGAGCAUAGUUAAAGCGGGAUCGUAAGGAUUCAAGGUAGAGCUACUUGGCCGUCGCAGUCCCUUGGG
Long non-coding RNA from Nicotiana tabacum (common tobacco), 593 nucleotides. RefSeq lists it as uncharacterized. Lineage: Eukaryota; Viridiplantae; Streptophyta; Magnoliopsida; Solanales; Solanaceae. The record is from RefSeq and is a predicted model, not a curated record.